UCCGUGAUCGUUUAGUGGUAAGUACAUUGCGUUGUGGCUGCAAUUACCCAGGUUCGAAUCCUGGUCACGGCA
Nematostella vectensis (starlet sea anemone) is the source of this 72-nucleotide non-coding RNA. The record is from Rfam. Lineage: Eukaryota; Metazoa; Cnidaria; Anthozoa; Actiniaria; Edwardsiidae.